ACCCUUCAAAGAGUGCGUAACAGCUCACUAGUCGAGUGACCCUGCGCCGAAAAUGUACCGGGGCUAAGCAUACUACCGAAGCUGCGGAUUUGUAGUAAUACAAGUGGUAGGGGAGCGUUCCAUACUGCGUAGAAGUCAGAUCGUAAGGACUGAUGGAGUGUAUGGAAGUGAGAAUGCCGGUGUGAGUAGCGAGAUGUAGGUGAGAAUCCUACACACCGAUAGCCCAAGGGUUCCAGGGGAAGGUUCGUCCGCCCUGGGUAAGUCGGGACCUAACGCGAGGCCGAAAGGCGUAGUGGAUGGAAAACAGGCAGAUAUUCCUGUACCCGCGAUGGAAGUGAAGGAAUGACGGAGAAGGCUAGUGUGACCCACUGAAUGGAUUGUGGGCGAAGCGAAUAGCAGGACGGCAGUGAAAUGCGUCGUCGGAAUGUAAAACGUGACAGGUAAGGGAACGUCUACGGACAAGUACCGAAGCACAUGAGGCCAGCUUCCAGGAAAAGUUUCUAGCGUUGAUUCCAUAGCGGCCCGUACCAAAACCGACACAGGUGGGCAAGGAGAGGAUCCUGAGGUGAGCGAGAGAACUGUUGCCAAGGAACUCGGCAAAAUGACUCCGUAAGUUAGCGAUAAGGAGUGCUCUUGUAAAAGAGAGCCGCAGUGAAGAGGCCCAAGCGACUGUUUAACUAAAACACAGCUCUCUGCAAAGUCGCAAGACGAAGUAUAGGGGGUGACGCCUGCCCGGUGCUGGAAGGUUAAAAGGAUCUGUGAAUCGCAAGAGGAAGCAGUGAACUGAAGCCCCAGUGAACGGCGGCCGUAACUAUAACGGUCCUAAGGUAGCGAAAUUCCUUGUCAGGUAAGUUCUGACCCGCACGAAAGGCGUAACGAUUUGGGCGCUGUCUCGGCAGCAGACUCGGUGAAAUCUUAGUACCUGUGAAAAUGCAGGUUACCCGCAACUAGACGGAAAGACCCCAUGGAGCUUUACUGUAGCCUGAUAUUGAGUUUUGAUCAAAGAUGUACAGGAUAGGUGGGAGGCGAAGAGACGUGUACGCCAGUAUACGAGGAGCCGCUGUUGGGAUACCACUCUUGUUUGAUUGAAAUUCUAACCUGCAUCCAUGAACUGGAUGAGGGACCGUGUCAGGUGGGCAGUUUGACUGGGGCGGUCGCCUCCUAAAGAGUAACGGAGGCGCCCAAAGGUACGCUCAGAUUGGAUGGAAAUCAAUCGACGAGUGCAAAUGCAGAAGCGUGCUUGACUGCGAGAGAAACAACUCGAGCAGGGACGAAAGUCGGGAUUAGUGAUCCGGCGGUGCCGAAUGGAAGGGCCGUCGCUCAACGGAUAAAAGCUACCCUGGGGAUAACAGGCUGAUCUCGCCCAAGAGUUCACAUCGACGGCGAGGUUUGGCACCUCGAUGUCGGCUCAUCGCAUCCUGGAGCUGAAUUCGGUUCCAAGGGUUGGGCUGUCCGCCCAUUAAAGCGGUACGCGAGCUGGGUUCAGAACGUCGUGAGACAGUUCGGUCCCUAUCUGUUGUGGGCGAAGGAAAUUUGAGGAGAGCUGUCCUUAGUACGAGAGGACCGGGAUGGACCUACCGCUGGUGCACCAGUUGUUCCGCCAGGAGCAUAGCUGGGUAGCUAAGUAGGGAAGGGAUAAGCGCUGAAAGCAUCUAAGCGCGAAGCCCCCUCCAAGAUGAGAUUUCCCAUUCU
Molecule: ribosomal RNA, 1692 nt
Filed under: human gut metagenome
Description: bacterial LSU rRNA
Rfam family: Bacterial large subunit ribosomal RNA
Source: RNAcentral